GACGAACGCUGGCGGCGUGCUUAACACAUGCAAGUCGAGCGAUGAAGCACCUUCGGGUGUGAAUUAGCGGCGAACGGGUGAGGAACACGUGAGGAAUCUGCCUUCAACACUGGGAUAACUCCGGGAAACCGGGGCUAAUACCGGAUAUGAAACCUGCGGGCAUCCGCGGGUUUGGAAAGUUUUUCGGUUGAAGAUGAUCUCGCGGCCUAUCAGCUUGUUGGUGAGGUAAUGGCUCACCAAGGCGACGACGGGUAGCCGGCCUGAGAGGGCGACGUGCCACACUGGGACUGAGACACGGCCCAGACUCCUACGGGAGGCAGCAGUGGGGAAUAUUGGGCAAUGGAGGAAACUCUGACCCAGCGACGCCGCGUGCGGGAUGAAGGCCUUCGGGUUGUAAACCGCUUUCAGCAGGGAAGAAGCGAAAGUGACGGUACCUGCAGAAGAAGCACCGGCUAACUAUGUGCCAGCCGCCGCAGUAA
Molecule: ribosomal RNA, 479 nt
Filed under: uncultured bacterium
Lineage: Bacteria
Description: partial 16S ribosomal RNA
Rfam family: Bacterial small subunit ribosomal RNA
Source: RNAcentral